CUUGGUCAUUUAGAGGAAGUAAAAGUCGUAACAAGGUUUCCGUAGGUGAACCUGCGGAAGGGUCAUUCAUAAUAAGUGUUUUAUGGCACUUUUUAAAUCCAUAUCCACCUUGUGUGCAAUGUCAGUCGAUCUUCUUCAUGGAGAUCGACCAAACAUCAACCUUUAUUUUUUAACUCUUUGUCUGAAAAAUAUUAUGAAUAAACAAUUCAAAAUACAACUUUCAACAACGGAUCUCUUGGCUCUCGCAUCGAUGAAGAACGCAGCGAAAUGCGAUACGUAAUGUGAAUUGCAGAAUUCAGUGAAUCAUCGAAUCUUUGAACGCAUAUUGCGCUCUUUGGUAUUCCGAAGAGCAUGCUUGUUUGAGUAUCAGUAAACACCUCAAAGCUUUUGGAUUUUUUAAUCGAAAAGCUUUGGACUUGAGCAAUCCCAACACCAAUCUUUUUGAGAUCGGUGGCGGGUUGCUUGAAAUGCAGGUGCAGCUGGACUUUUCUCUGAGCUAUAAGCAUAUCUAUUUAGUCUGCCUAAAAAACAGAUUAUUACCUUUGCUGCAGCUAACAUAAAGGAGAUGAGUUCUUGUGCUGACUGAUGCAGGAUUCACAGAGACAGCUUCGCGGCUGACUUUGUAAACUCGAUCUCAAAUCAAGUAAGACUACCCGCUGAACUUAAGCAUAUCAAUAAGCGGAGGAAAAGAAACUAACAAGGAUUCCCCUAGUAACGGCGAGUGAAGCGGGAUGAGCUCAAAUUUAAAAUCUGGCUGGUUUACUAGUCCGAAUUGUAGUUUAAAGAAGCGUUUUCGGUGGCAGCCUGGGUAUAAAUCCUUUGGAACAGGGUAUCAUAGAGGGUGAGAAUCCCGUCUUUGACUCAGUGCAUGCUACUAUGUGAUACGUUUUCAAAGAGUCGAGUUGUUUGGGAAU
Molecule: small RNA, 914 nt
Filed under: uncultured fungus
Lineage: Eukaryota; Fungi
Description: eukaryotic LSU rRNA
Rfam family: Eukaryotic large subunit ribosomal RNA (bases 630-914)
Source: RNAcentral